GGGUUGUGAGGUUAAGCGACUAAGCGUACACGGUGGAUGCCCUGGCAGUCAGAGGCGAUGAAGGACGUGCUAAUCUGCGAUAAGCGUCGGUAAGGUGAUAUGAACCGUUAUAACCGGCGAUUUCCGAAUGGGGAAACCCAGUGUGAUUCGUCACACUAUCAUUAACUGAAUCCAUAGGUUAAUGAGGCGAACCGGGGGAACUGAAACAUCUAAGUACCCCGAGGAAAAGAAAUCAACCGAGAUUCCCCCAGUAGCGGCGAGCGAACGGGGAGGAGCCCAGAGCCUGAAUCAGUGUGUGUGUUAGUGGAAGCGUCUGGAAAGGCGCGCGAUACAGGGUGACAGCCCCGUACACAAAAAUGCACAUAUUGUGAGCUCGAUGAGUAGGGCGGGACACGUGGUAUCCUGUCUGAAUAUGGGGGGACCAUCCUCCAAGGCUAAAUACUCCUGACUGACCGAUAGUGAACCAGUACCGUGAGGGAAAGGCGAAAAGAACCCCGGCGAGGGGAGUGAAAAAGAACCUGAAACCGUGUACGUACAAGCAGUGGGAGCACAGAGCAAUCUGUGUGACUGCGUACCUUUUGUAUAAUGGGUCAGCGACUUAUAUUCUGUAGCAAGGUUAACCGAAUAGGGGAGCCGAAGGGAAACCGAGUCUUAACUGGGCGUUAAGUUGCAGGGUAUAGACCCGAAACCCGGUGAUCUAGCCAUGGGCAGGUUGAAGGUUGGGUAACACUAACUGGAGGACCGAACCGACUAAUGUUGAAAAAUUAGCGGAUGACUUGUGGCUGGGGGUGAAAGGCCAAUCAAACCGGGAGAUAGCUGGUUCUCCCCGAAAGCUAUUUAGGUAGCGCCUCGUGAAUUCAUCUCCGGGGGUAGAGCACUGUUUCGGCAAGGGGGUCAUCCCGACUUACCAACCCGAUGCAAACUGCGAAUACCGGAGAAUGUUAUCACGGGAGACACACGGCGGGUGCUAACGUCCGUCGUGAAGAGGGAAACAACCCAGACCGCCAGCUAAGGUCCCAAAGUCAUGGUUAAGUGGGAAACGAUGUGGGAAGGCCCAGACAGCCAGGAUGUUGGCUUAGAAGCAGCCAUCAUUUAAAGAAAGCGUAAUAGCUCACUGGUCGAGUCGGCCUGCGCGGAAGAUGUAACGGGGCUAAACCAUGCACCGAAGCUGCGGCAGCGACACUGUGUGUUGUUGGGUAGGGGAGCGUUCUGUAAGCCUGUGAAGGUGUACUGUGAGGUAUGCUGGAGGUAUCAGAAGUGCGAAUGCUGACAUAAGUAACGAUAAAGCGGGUGAAAAGCCCGCUCGCCGGAAGACCAAGGGUUCCUGUCCAACGUUAAUCGGGGCAGGGUGAGUCGACCCCUAAGGCGAGGCCGAAAGGCGUAGUCGAUGGGAAACAGGUUAAUAUUCCUGUACUUGGUGUUACUGCGAAGGGGGGACGGAGAAGGCUAUGUUGGCCGGGCGACGGUUGUCCCGGUUUAAGCGUGUAGGCUGGUUUUCCAGGCAAAUCCGGAAAAUCAAGGCUGAGGCGUGAUGACGAGGCACUACGGUGCUGAAGCAACAAAUGCCCUGCUUCCAGGAAAAGCCUCUAAGCAUCAGGUAACAUCAAAUCGUACCCCAAACCGACACAGGUGGUCAGGUAGAGAAUACCAAGGCGCUUGAGAGAACUCGGGUGAAGGAACUAGGCAAAAUGGUGCCGUAACUUCGGGAGAAGGCACGCUGAUAUGUAGGUGAAGUCCCUCGCGGAUGGAGCUGAAAUCAGUCGAAGAUACCAGCUGGCUGCAACUGUUUAUUAAAAACACAGCACUGUGCAAACACGAAAGUGGACGUAUACGGUGUGACGCCUGCCCGGUGCCGGAAGGUUAAUUGAUGGGGUCAGCGCAAGCGAAGCUCUUGAUCGAAGCCCCGGUAAACGGCGGCCGUAACUAUAACGGUCCUAAGGUAGCGAAAUUCCUUGUCGGGUAAGUUCCGACCUGCACGAAUGGCGUAAUGAUGGCCAGGCUGUCUCCACCCGAGACUCAGUGAAAUUGAACUCGCUGUGAAGAUGCAGUGUACCCGCGGCAAGACGGAAAGACCCCGUGAACCUUUACUAUAGCUUGACACUGAACAUUGAGCCUUGAUGUGUAGGAUAGGUGGGAGGCUUAGAAGUGUGGACGCCAGUCUGCAUGGAGCCGACCUUGAAAUACCACCCUUUAAUGUUUGAUGUUCUAACGUUGACCCGUGAUCCGGGUUGCGGACAGUGUCUGGUGGGUAGUUUGACUGGGGCGGUCUCCUCCUAAAGAGUAACGGAGGAGCACGAAGGUUGGCUAAUCCUGGUCGGACAUCAGGAGGUUAGUGCAAUGGCAUAAGCCAGCUUGACUGCGAGCGUGACGGCGCGAGCAGGUGCGAAAGCAGGUCAUAGUGAUCCGGUGGUUCUGAAUGGAAGGGCCAUCGCUCAACGGAUAAAAGGUACUCCGGGGAUAACAGGCUGAUACCGCCCAAGAGUUCAUAUCGACGGCGGUGUUUGGCACCUCGAUGUCGGCUCAUCACAUCCUGGGGCUGAAGUAGGUCCCAAGGGUAUGGCUGUUCGCCAUUUAAAGUGGUACGCGAGCUGGGUUUAGAACGUCGUGAGACAGUUCGGUCCCUAUCUGCCGUGGGCGCUGGAGAACUGAGGGGGGCUGCUCCUAGUACGAGAGGACCGGAGUGGACGCAUCACUGGUGUUCGGGUUGUCAUGCCAAUGGCACUGCCCGGUAGCUAAAUGCGGAAGAGAUAAGUGCUGAAAGCAUCUAAGCACGAAACUUGCCCCGAGAUGAGUUCUCCCUGACUCCUUGAGAGUCCUGAAGGAACGUUGAAGACGACGACGUUGAUAGGCCGGGUGUGUAAGCGCAGCGAUGCGUUGAGCUAACCGGUACUAAUGAACCGUGAGGCUUAACCUUACAACGCCGAAGCUGUU
This 2931-nucleotide ribosomal RNA is filed under the name Escherichia coli. Its description in RNAcentral is "23S ribosomal RNA". It matches the Rfam family "Bacterial large subunit ribosomal RNA". Lineage: Bacteria; Pseudomonadati; Pseudomonadota; Gammaproteobacteria; Enterobacterales; Enterobacteriaceae. The record is from RNAcentral.